RNAcentral lists this long non-coding RNA (360 nucleotides) under Equus caballus (horse). RNAcentral's name for it is "lncRNA (ENSECAG00000052123.1)". The record is from RNAcentral. Lineage: Eukaryota; Metazoa; Chordata; Mammalia; Perissodactyla; Equidae.
UGGAGACCUUCAGCAAUCCCUCUGGUCUACCAGCUGGCAAAUCGAAAGGCAGAUAUUGAGAAAUAUAGCAUCUAAAAGGUAAGCCUCCCUGCUUUGCAGAUCUAGAAGCUGAGACAUCAUGAAUUGGUUUCAUCAUGUUCCUCAGCGAAACACAGGCCACUGUGUCCCAGCCCAUUGCUCUCCUUGAAAUGAAAGGAAAAGUCAUGACAUUUUAAGAGAGAGGAGAAAUCAGUUUCAGUUGCCUCAGCUAUGAACAGAGGAUAACAGCAUGGAUGCAUUCCCCAGGUGUGCUUUGAAGAAUAAGCCAAUGACUGAAAAGCAAUUUGAAAAUGUAAACUGAAAUGCUAUAUAUAAAUGUUA